RNAcentral lists this long non-coding RNA (336 nucleotides) under Bos taurus (domestic cattle). RNAcentral describes it as "long non-coding RNA NONBTAT023840". Lineage: Eukaryota; Metazoa; Chordata; Mammalia; Artiodactyla; Bovidae. The record is from RNAcentral.
GAUUUAUAAGUCUCCUUUUAGGAUAAGAGCACGCCUUGUUCUGUACUCGCUCCCCAGGAGAGUACCUGGAAGAUAGUAGACCAUCAAAGCUAAGUAGUCACUUAAGGACUGGAGCAUAAAUGCAAAAAAAGAGAAAUAUUUCCAAAAGUAAUUUAUAUGGGUCUAAAUUUUAAGAACUAAUGUUAUUAAUGACCUUACUAUAUUUUAGCAUUUUGUUCUUGAAAUACUACUUAUAUAGUUACAACCUAAGCAAAUGUAAUAAAGAAUAAUACUUAGAUUUGAGGUCAUAUGCAGGUAUGGUUAUAUAAAUACAUAUGACUGUGUACUUAAUCCUUG